This 334-nucleotide unclassified non-coding RNA is filed under the name Zea mays. RNAcentral's name for it is "misc RNA Zm00001eb230530". The record is from RNAcentral. Lineage: Eukaryota; Viridiplantae; Streptophyta; Magnoliopsida; Poales; Poaceae.
GGCGGGUUCGGAUUUGGAGGAGGCCGGGGCGCGGCAGGACGGGCAGUACCAGUCGCCGGCGGGGACGCGCGGGAGGAUGGGGCGGAGGCAGAAGAUGUGGAACCCGCAGUCGCACCCGUCGCACAGCAUCAGCUCCGCGGCCGCGUCCCCGGACCCGCACGCCUCGCACCUCACGUCGUCGUCGGCGGCGGCGGCCUCCGGCCCUGGACCUGGCGGCGUCCGCGCCCGGGUCCGGCGACGGAGCUGGCUCGCGGCGCCCAUCUGUCUACCGCACGCGGGAUCCGAGAUGUCGGGCGGGGACUGGUGGAGUGGAGGUGGGCGCGUCGGCGGGUGG